RNAcentral lists this ribosomal RNA (495 nucleotides) under uncultured bacterium. RNAcentral's name for it is "bacterial SSU rRNA". It matches the Rfam family "Bacterial small subunit ribosomal RNA", at positions 30 to 520 of the family's 1533-position model. The record is from RNAcentral.
AUUGAACGCUGGCGGAAUGCUUUACACAUGCAAGUCGAGCGGCAGCGCGGGGCAACCUGGCGGCGAGCGGCGAACGGGUGAGUAAUACAUCGGAACGUGCCCAGACGUGGGGGAUAACUACUCGAAAGAGUGGCUAAUACCGCAUACGAUCUAAGGAUGAAAGCGGGGGAUCGCAAGACCUCGCGCGUUUGGAGCGGCCGAUGGCAGAUUAGGUAGUUGGUGGGGUAAAGGCUUACCAAGCCCGCGAUCUGUAGCUGGUCUGAGAGGAUGAUCAGCCACACUGGGACUGAGACACGGCCCAGACUCCUACGGGAGGCAGCAGUGGGGAAUUUUGGACAAUGGGCGAAAGCCUGAUCCAGCCAUUCCGCGUGCAGGAUGAAGGCCCUCGGGUUGUAAACUGCUUUUAUACAGAACGAAAAAGCUCUUUCUAAUACAGAGAGUCCAUGACGGUACUGUAAGAAUAAGCACCGGCUAACUACGUGCCAGCAGCCGCGG